GUAGGUGGCAAGCGUUGUCCGGAAUUAUUGGGCGUAAAGCGCGCGCAGGCGGUCCUUUAAGUCUGAUGUGAAAGCCCACGGCUCAACCGUGGCGGGUCAUUGGAAACUGGGGGACUUGAGUACAGAAGAGGAAAGCGGAAUUCCAAGUGUAGCGGUGAAAUGCGUAGAGAUUUGGAGGAACACCAGUGGCGAAGGCGGCUUUCUGGUCUGUAACUGACGCUGAGGCGCGAAAGCGUGUGGAGCAAACAGGGAUUAGAUACCCUGGUAGUCCACGCCGUAAACGAUGAGUGCUAAGUGUUAGGGGGUUUCCCGCCCCUUAGUGCUGCAGCUAACGCAUUAAGCACUCCGCCUGGGGAGUACGGCCGCAAGGCUG
RNAcentral lists this ribosomal RNA (373 nucleotides) under uncultured organism. RNAcentral describes it as "partial 16S ribosomal RNA". It matches the Rfam family "Bacterial small subunit ribosomal RNA", at positions 527 to 896 of the family's 1533-position model. The record is from RNAcentral.